AAUCAGACAUAUUCAGAGGAAUCCUAGACUUGUAGUCUCUUCUCUUCUUUUUAGAACUUCCUUUACUAGAUUUAACAGUAGAAAGAGAGAUAUCAUCACUUACUUUUGGAGUUUCCUUUUUCUCAACAGAUUUUCCUUUCCCUUUCUUCUCAGCGACAUUUGUUUGAGCUUUGGGUUUGGAAGCACGAACAGUUGUAACAGGAACGGCGUCCUUGAUGAUCUUAGAGGAAUCGAUCUUCGCCUUUGAUCGAGUAGAACGGCCGGACUUUGUAGUUUGUGAUGAUUCAGACAUGUUUGGAUCAAGGUUUUUGAAGUUUGAGAAGUUGAAUGGAUGAAGGUUGUAGUGAGAAGCAGUUGAAU
Molecule: long non-coding RNA, 360 nt
Filed under: Trifolium pratense (red clover)
Lineage: Eukaryota; Viridiplantae; Streptophyta; Magnoliopsida; Fabales; Fabaceae
Description: long non-coding RNA (TPRA_LNC008147)
Source: RNAcentral